This 483-nucleotide ribosomal RNA is filed under the name uncultured bacterium. RNAcentral's name for it is "partial 16S ribosomal RNA". It matches the Rfam family "Bacterial small subunit ribosomal RNA", at positions 30 to 507 of the family's 1533-position model. The record is from RNAcentral.
AUUGAACGCUGGCGGCAGGCCUAACACAUGCGAGUCGAGCGGAUGAAGGGAGCUUGCUCCUGGAUUCAGCGGCGGACGGGUGGGUAAUGCCUAGGAAUCUGCCUGGUAGUGGGGGAUAACGUCCGGAAACGGGCGCUAAUACCGCAUACGUCCUGAGGGAGAAAGUGGGGGAUCUUCGGACCUCACGCUAUCAGAUGAGCCUAGGUCGGAUAGCUAGUUGGUGGGGUAAAGGCCUACCAAGGCGACGAUCCGUAACUGGUCUGAGAGGAUGAUCAGUCACACUGGAACUGAGACACGGUCCAGACUCCUACGGGAGGCAGCAGUGGGGAAUAUUGGACAAUGGGCGAAAGCCUGAUCCAGCCAUGCCGCGUGUGUGAAGAAGGUCUUCGGAUUGUAAAGCACUUUAAGUUGGGAGGAAGGGCAGUAAGUUAAUACCUUGCUGUUUUGACGUUACCAACAGAAUAAGCACCGGCUAACUUCGUG